AAAUUUUGCAAUUACUCUCCCAUCAAAAUCUUUUCUCCUUACCUUUCAGGAAAUGAGAAGAAAAUGGAUCUCAAAGAUGAUGCAAGCCUAUAGGAGAGUCGAUGUCUGGCUGGAUGUCAGCUUGUCCCUUCCCCAGAGUCUUCGAUCCAGCCUCUGUCUUCUGUCUCACACAAUGGUGCCAGCCCUCAUAUCCAAGGCUGGUGUUUUUGUCACAGCAAGUGAAGAAGCUGCUCUCAGCUGCAUUACACUAUCUUCUUCUGAUUUUUCCACCAUGUAUUCUCAAUGUGACAGCAAGAAGAAUCAUCUUGAGACCAACACAACAGCAACAAAACAAAACAAAACCUCAAAAGAUCAUGGCCCUGCUCAAACCCUUCUAAAGACUUCCAUUUAACUCAGAGUAAAAAAUCUUGCCAUGGUCUGUGCUGUGGCCCCUGUGGCCUCUGUGACCUCAUCCCACACCACUCUCCCCAGCCCACCAUGCUCACUAUGCUUUGGCUCAAACCCACAGGUACCUUUGGACCUCAGGGCCUGUGCCUUGGCUGUUCCCCCAGGUAUUGGUUUGGCUUCCUCCCUUGCCUCUUUUUUAUUUUAUGUAGGGUUCCCUUCUCAGUGAGACUACUUGGCCACCCUAUUUAUAAUAACUAUAUCCCU
RNAcentral lists this long non-coding RNA (651 nucleotides) under Ictidomys tridecemlineatus (thirteen-lined ground squirrel). RNAcentral's name for it is "lncRNA (ENSSTOG00000033232.1)". The record is from RNAcentral. Lineage: Eukaryota; Metazoa; Chordata; Mammalia; Rodentia; Sciuridae.